RNAcentral lists this transfer RNA (72 nucleotides) under Schizosaccharomyces japonicus yFS275. Its description in RNAcentral is "tRNA-Sup (CTA) (tRNA-Sup-CTA-1-1)". It matches the Rfam family "tRNA". Rfam says of the family: Transfer RNA (tRNA) molecules are approximately 80 nucleotides in length. Their secondary structure includes four short double-helical elements and three loops (D, anti-codon, and T loops). The record is from RNAcentral. Lineage: Eukaryota; Fungi; Ascomycota; Schizosaccharomycetes; Schizosaccharomycetales; Schizosaccharomycetaceae.
CCCGUGUGCUCAAUCGGUUUAGAGCGUCUGACUCUACAUCAGAGGUUGCGAGUUCGAGUCUCGCCAUGGAGG